This 606-nucleotide ribosomal RNA is filed under the name uncultured Alphaproteobacteria bacterium. Its description in RNAcentral is "bacterial SSU rRNA". It matches the Rfam family "Bacterial small subunit ribosomal RNA", at positions 44 to 696 of the family's 1533-position model. Lineage: Bacteria; Pseudomonadati; Pseudomonadota; Alphaproteobacteria. The record is from RNAcentral.
AGGCCUAACACAUGCAAGUCGAACGGAUCCUUCGGGAUUAGUGGCGGACGGGUGAGUAACACGUGGGAACGUGCCCUUUGGUUCGGAACAACUCAGGGAAACUUGAGCUAAUACCGGAUGUGCCCUUCGGGGGAAAGAUUUAUCGCCAUUGGAGCGGCCCGCGUCUGAUUAGCUAGUUGGUGAGGUAAAGGCUCACCAAGGCGACGAUCAGUAGCUGGUCUGAGAGGAUGAUCAGCCACAUUGGGACUGAGACACGGCCCAAACUCCUACGGGAGGCAGCAGUGGGGAAUCUUGCGCAAUGGGCGAAAGCCUGACGCAGCCAUGCCGCGUGAAUGAUGAAGGUCUUAGGAUUGUAAAAUUCUUUCACCGGGGACGAUAAUGACGGUACCCGGAGAAGAAGCCCCGGCUAACUUCGUGCCAGCAGCCGCGGUAAUACGAAGGGGGCUAGCGUUGCUCGGAAUUACUGGGCGUAAAGGGAGCGUAGGCGGACUGUUAAGUUAGAGGUGAAAGCCCAGGGCUCAACCUUGGAAUUGCCUUUGAUACUGGCAGUCUUGAGUACGGAAGAGGUAUGUGGAACUCCGAGUGUAGAGGUGAAAUUCGUAGAUA